Molecule: ribosomal RNA, 253 nt
Filed under: uncultured prokaryote
Description: partial 16S ribosomal RNA
Rfam family: Bacterial small subunit ribosomal RNA
Source: RNAcentral
GACGUAGGAGACAAACGUUAUCCGGAAUUACUGGGCGUAAAGCGUACGCAGGCGGCUUUGCAAGACAGGUGUGAAAUCCCCGGGCCUAACCUGGGAACUGCAUUUGUGACUGCAUAGCUAGAGUCUGUCAGAGGGGGGUGGAAUUCCACGUGUAGCAGUGAAAUGCGUAGAGAUGUGGAAGAACACCGAUGGCGAAGGCAGCCCCCUGGGAUGAUGCUGACGCUGAUGCGCGAAAGCCAGGGGAGCAAACGGG